This 375-nucleotide ribosomal RNA is filed under the name uncultured bacterium. Its description in RNAcentral is "bacterial SSU rRNA". It matches the Rfam family "Bacterial small subunit ribosomal RNA", at positions 524 to 898 of the family's 1533-position model. The record is from RNAcentral.
UACGAAGGGGGCUAGCGUUGCUCGGAAUUACUGGGCGUAAAGGGCGCGUAGGCGGCUUACCUAGUCAGGCGUGAAAUUCCUGGGCUCAACCUGGGGGCUGCGUUUGAUACUUGUAGGCUAGAGGAUGGAAGAGGGUCGUGGAAUUCCCAGUGUAGGGGUGAAAUUCGUAGAUAUUGGGAAGAACACCGGUGGCGAGGGCGGCGACCUGGUCCAUUACUGACGCUGAGGCGCGACAGCGUGGGGAGCAAACAGGAUUAGAUACCCUGGUAGUCCACGCCGUAAACGAUGUGCGCUGGAUGUUGGGUGGCCUAGCCACUCAGUGUCGUAGCUAACGCGGUAAGCGCACCGCCUGGGGAGUACGGCCGCAAGGUUGAA